UCACAAGUCACACAGUAUUCCAGUCAAAUACAGAUGGUUGAUAAAAGUCAUCCAUCUUCCCUCUCCACCCUCCCACAGCCCCUCAACCACUGCCCUGAAACUUAUAUGCUGUUAUCCACAGCUCCGUCUGGAGCAUCACAGCUAUUGUCAACCCUGACGCUCUUUCUGAAAAAACACUGGAUGGACAUCAGAACUAUUUCUUUAAGGAUGUUACUGAGUCACACAGGAAAACUUGCCUUAUGAUUUUGGAUACACGGUUCUGAUUUGACGAAACGUGAUAACUAGAGAAUCACCCAAUCUACUCCCAUUUUCAACUCUAAAUCAUCAGAUUGUCUCAGAUCCAAAGCACACACAGACCAGCCUGGCCAAUUUGGUGAAACUCCACCUCUACUAAAAGUAUAAAAAUUAUCCAGGUGUGGUGGUGGGCGCCUGUAAUCCAAGCUACUUGGGAGGCUGAGGGAGGAGAAUCCCUUGAACCUGGGAAAUGGAGGUUGCAGUGAGCAGAGAUCACACCACUGCACUCUAGCCUGGGCCACAAAUCAACAACAACAACAACAAAAAAACAAAGCGCACACAGAGACUGAGGUCCUCUUUGGCAUUGAGACGAUGGCUAUGCAAGUCCCGACUAGCAAGUGCAAACUUCCCAGCUUCACUUCUGCCAGUGUCCCUUCACCCCUUCUCAACCCCACUGGGAGGCAGGAGGGUGCUUGACAAUAGCCUUGGCAUCACACUGCCAGGGAGUAAUAGGAACUGUUACAAUUCUGAGAUUCUAUAUGGGAGUGUCUAGUUGCAGGAAACAAGCUCAGGGCUUCCACUGAUUCUACAUUAUGGCUGUGGCUUGCCUUUUCACUUCUUGUGUCCUGUUUAAGAAAUAUCUGCUAUCCCAAGCAUCUGGCAUCUUUCUUGACAUACGUAGCAGUUGCUUUUUGACAGCUUGCUUCUGGAGUGAAUGAAUAAAUUAAUAAAUUUAUUCAUUUGAUAUUCAGUGACAUGUGAUAUUCAGUGAUCCAUUUUGCAGAUAACACUAACAAAGUUGACCUUAGAAUUGGAGUGCCCGGGUUAGAACCUUGCUGGUACCACCUGCUUACUGCAUGCUUCUGAUGUGAGUUCAGGAGAAGCCACUGGCAAGGACAGCAAAGAACAGGAGAACACUCUAGCUUCCCUGAUAGCAUUCAAGGUGCUGUCCAAAAGUUUCACUCUUGUCACCCAGGCUGGAGUGGAAUGGCACAAUCAUGGCUCACUGCAACCUCUGCCUUUCCGGCUAAGGCAGGAGAAUGGCUUGAACCCAGGAGGCGGAGUUUGCAGUGGGCUGAGAUCACGCCACUGCAUUCCAGCCUGGAUGACAGAGUGAGACUCCGUCUCAAAAAAAAAAAAAAAAAAA
This 1381-nucleotide long non-coding RNA is filed under the name Pongo abelii (Sumatran orangutan). Its description in RNAcentral is "lincRNA". The record is from RNAcentral. Lineage: Eukaryota; Metazoa; Chordata; Mammalia; Primates; Hominidae.